AUUUUGCGCAAUGGAGGAAACUCUGACGCAGCAACGCCAUGUGUGGGAUGAAGCAUUUCGGUGUGUAAACCACUGUCAGCAGGGAAUAAAUGGUCGCUUCGGCGGCAGUUGAAUGUACCUGCAGAGGAAGCCCCGGCUAACUUCGUGCCAGCAGCCGCGGUAAUACGAGGGGGGCAAAUGUUGUUCGGAAUCACUGGGCGUAAAGGGAGCGUAGGCGGGCUCUUAAGUUAGGUGUUUAAUCCCGGGGCCCAACCCCGGACAGGCACUUAAAACUGGGAGUCUUGAAUAGUGGAGAGGUCGGCGGAAUUGGGGGUGUAGCGGUGGAAUGCGUAGAGAUCCCCAAGAACACCAGUUGCGAAGGCGGCCGACUGGACACAUAUUGACGCUGAGGCUCGAAAGCAUGGGGAGCAAACAGG
RNAcentral lists this ribosomal RNA (416 nucleotides) under uncultured bacterium. Its description in RNAcentral is "bacterial SSU rRNA". It matches the Rfam family "Bacterial small subunit ribosomal RNA", at positions 361 to 776 of the family's 1533-position model. The record is from RNAcentral.